RNAcentral lists this ribosomal RNA (253 nucleotides) under uncultured bacterium. Its description in RNAcentral is "partial 16S ribosomal RNA". It matches the Rfam family "Bacterial small subunit ribosomal RNA", at positions 524 to 776 of the family's 1533-position model. The record is from RNAcentral.
UACGUAGGUGGCAAGCGUUGUCCGGAUUUACUGGGCGUAAAGGAUGCGUAGGCGGACAUUUAAGUCAGAUGUGAAAUACCCGAGCUUAACUUGGGUGCUGAAUUUGAAACUGGGUGUCUAGAGUGCAGGAGAGGUAAGUGGAAUUCCUAGUGUAGCGGUGAAAUGCGUAGAGAUUAGGAAGAACACCAGUGGCGAAGGCGACUUACUGGACUGUAACUGACGCUGAGGCAUGAAAGCGUGGGGAGCAAACAGG